Molecule: ribosomal RNA, 301 nt
Filed under: uncultured bacterium
Lineage: Bacteria
Description: partial 16S ribosomal RNA
Rfam family: Bacterial small subunit ribosomal RNA
Source: RNAcentral
CAGCCGCCACGGUAAUACGUAGGUGGCAAGCGUUGUCCGGAAUUAUUGGGCGUAAAGGGCUCGCAGGCGGUUUCUUAAGUCUGAUGUGAAAGCCCUCGGCUCAACCGGGGAGGGUCAUUGGAAACUGGGAAACUUGAGUGCAGAAGAGGAGAGUGGAAUUCCACGUGUAGCGGUGAAAUGCGUAGAGAUGUGGAGGAACACCAGUGGCGAAGGCGACUCUCUGGUCUGUAACUGACGCUGAGGAGCGAAAGCGUGGGGAGCGAACAGGAUUAGAUACCCCGGUAGUCCCUGUCUCUUAUAA